Astatotilapia calliptera (eastern happy) is the source of this 2220-nucleotide long non-coding RNA. The record is from Ensembl. NCBI's taxonomy places the organism in Eukaryota, Metazoa, Chordata, Actinopteri, Cichliformes, Cichlidae.
CGGUGCUCCAUCGUGCUCGAAAAUGCAUUGUUCUUCACCAAAUUGUUGUUGGAUUGUUGGAAGAAGUUGCUGUUUGAGGGUGUUUUGGUACAAUUCUUUAUUCAUGGCUGUGUUUUUGGGCAAAAUUGUGAGUGAGCCCACUCCCUUGGAUGAGAAGCAACCCCAGAUAUGAAUGCUCUCAGGAUGCUUUACUGUUGGCAUGACACUGGACUGAUGGUAGUGCUCACCUUUUCUUCUCUGGACAAGCUUUUUUCCAGAUGCCCCAAACAAUCGGAAAGAUGCUUCAUCGGAGAAUAUGACUUCGCCCCAGUCCUCAGCAGUUCAUUCACUAUACUUUCUGCAGAAGAUCAAUCUGUCCCUCAUGGGUUUUUUUUUUUUUUGGAGAGAAGUGGCUUCUUUGCUGCCCUUCUUGACACCAGGCCAUCUUCUAAAAGUCUUCACCUUACUGUGCGUGCAGAUGCGCUCACACCUGCCUGCUGCCAUUCCUGAGCAAGCUCUGCACUGGUGGCACUCCGAUCCCGCAGCUGAAUCCUCUUUAGGAGACUUUCUUGGAUGCCCUGAAAGCCUUCUUAACAAGAAUUGAACCUCUUUCCUUGAAGUUCUUGAUGAUCCUAUAAAUUGUUGAUUAACUCAUUCACUGCCAUUGACGUCUAUAGCCGUCAAUUGCAGUGAAUGAGUCAAUGGGUUUAACUCAUUCACUGCCAAUGGCUGGCAGUGAAUGAGUUAAGAUGCAGUCUUAGUAGCCACAAUAUCCUUGCCUGUGAAGCCAUUUUUAUGCAACGCAAUGAUGGCUGCAUGUGUUUCUUUGCAGUUCACCAUAGUUAACAAUGGAACAACAAUGAUUUCAAUUUCAAGCAUCGCCCUCCUUUUAACAUGUCAGGUCAGCCAUUCUAACCCAAUUAGCCUUACAUAAUGAUCUCCAGCCUUGUGCUCGUCAACAUUCUCACCUGAGUUAACAAGACAAUUACUGAAAUGAUCUCAGCAGGUCCUUUAAUGACAGCAAUGAAAUGCAGUGGAAAAGGUUUUUUUUGGGAUUAAGUUAUUUUUCAUAGCAAAGAAGGACUAUGCAAUUCAUCUGAUCACUCUUCAUAACAUUCUGGAGCAUAUGCAAAUUGCUAUUAUGAAAACUUAAGCAGCAACUUUUCCAAUAUUUAUGUAAUUCUCAAAACUUUUGGCCACGACUGUAGGUUUAGUUCUGUGUCAAGUCUGUGUCUUCGUGAGUUGUUUCCUGUUUAAUUUUGAAGGGUUAUGUCUUAUGUCAGUGUUGCUAGCGUCACUCCCCUGUCUCAUUAGGUCUCAUUCCUCCCAGCUGUGUUCCCCUUCUGUCUGUAAUUCCUUGAUGACUCCCUCAGUGUAUUUAAGCCCCGUGUUCCUUUCUGUAAGUGUCAUGUUGUACCCUCAGACUGGCAUGGCUGUUUCUGUUCUCAGUGUUCGUGGCUCAGUUUAAGUUUUGUUCCGUUUUUUUUUUUUUUUUUUAACUUGGCCUACGAUAAAGCAGAGGACUUUGAAUUCCGCCUCCAUGAGUCUGCAUAUUGGGUUCUUUAUCCUGCCUGCCUGCACACAGCCUUGACAAUAAGCACUCAAAGCGCUUUAUAAAACUCAUGCAUUCACCCAAUCAUACCCAUUCACACAAGCACUUUAUCUAAGGUUUUUAGUGCUUCUGUCUAACAUUCACUCGCAUACAGAGGGACUUUGGUACUGGACAGGGUGGCUGAAACUGUCAUCCUGAAUUGCUCUGUAAGUAAGUACAGUACAGUAUGAGGUCCACAAUGUUGGAUUACGAGAGAGACGUUGAAAGGCUGCUCCAACAGAACUUAUUGUUUCAGAGGAAAACACAAAAAAGUGUACCGUCCAGUCUUAAUAGCAUACUUACAACUGGGCUCAUCAGGCAUUCUUUUUGGCUGCAGUGGUUGUUAUUAUAUUUACAUGGUUCCAGCUCCUGUUUCUGGUCGGUGACAGCUCGUACUUUUACACUCUCCUUUUUCUCCCUCCCUGGUGCUCACAGACACGGGUAUAGCAGUCCAUUCUCCCUGCAGCACGAACUACACUGCCCAUGAGGCUACAUUCUUUAGGGUGAUACCUGUAACACUCUGCCUUUUGGCUUUAUAUGAAAUCAUUUUAAAAAAUAUUUCUUUACAUCAUUAUGAGAUGUGAGAUUGAGACACAGGCAUUUGCGCCUCUUAAUGCGUGUUUUGUUUGGGUUUCCACCAGUGUGGAAUU